RNAcentral lists this ribosomal RNA (479 nucleotides) under uncultured bacterium. RNAcentral's name for it is "partial 16S ribosomal RNA". It matches the Rfam family "Bacterial small subunit ribosomal RNA", at positions 28 to 507 of the family's 1533-position model. The record is from RNAcentral.
GAUGAACGCUAGCGGGAGGCCUAACACAUGCAAGCCGAGCGGUAUUUGUUCUUCGGAACAGAGAGAGCGGCGCACGGGUGCGGAACACGUGUGCAACCUGCCUUUAUCUGGGGGAUAGCCUUUCGAAAGGAAGAUUAAUACCCCAUAAUAUAUUGAGUGGCAUCACUUGAUAUUGAAAACUCCGGUGGAUAGAGAUGGGCACGCGCAAGAUUAGAUAGUUGGUGAGGUAACGGCUCACCAAGUCAAUGAUCUUUAGGGGGCCUGAGAGGGUGAUCCCCCACACUGGUACUGAGACACGGAACAGACUCCUACGGGAGGCAGCAGUGAGGAAUAUUUGACAAUGGGGUAGGGCCUGAUCCAGCCAUCCCGCGUGAAGGACGGCGGCCCUAUGGGUUGUAAACUUCUUUUGGAUAGGGAUAAACCUACUCUCGUGAGAGUAGCUGAAGGUACUAUACGAAUAAGCACCGGCUAACUCCGUG